AGGAUAUGAAUACAUUUUAAUUAUCUCUCGAUCUACCUGUAUUUAAUAGUACUGUGACAUUCCAGCUGAAUGUAACAUGUAUUUUCAUUUCCAACAUGCAUUAAAAUCUUAUAACUGUUGUCCCUUUUUAUUCCCAUGAGUAUGGCGUUCACCGCAUUCCAUCCUGACACCCAAACACAACUUCCCAAGGGCCAGGUAUGAUGUGUUCAAUUUGUGAUCAGAUUAAUGUAUAACUCUAUUUCUUUCGUGAACGCAUGUGUAGGCAAGAUUUAUCAUGGAGGGUAACUACCGGAUGAUUGGAGUAUCGUGUCUUACAUUGUCGGGUCGUAAUUGAUUUACUAAACAGUUUAUCCAUGAAUGCCCUUGUUGACAACCUCCUUCUACAAUAAGGUCACGCACUAAAUAACCAUGCAGGCCGGACUCCAUGUCCGAGACUUGAUUCCAUCGGCUUGUGCAAUGAUUCAUGUCCCUGGUUCACGGUCCGUAUGGUGGCUCUAUCUUUCCGAUCUAUCACACAUCCUGACAAUGUGGUCGUCUUGUAAGGGAGAUUGGAGGAUCAUGACAAAAGACAGACGAUAUUUGCGUGAUGUUUAUUCUGAUUUGAUGUGUUUGUUGCAUGUAACUUAAUUGUUGAGUGCGGCUUACUACCUUAGUGGUAGCGUCAUUAUAAUGAAUGUAGUAUAUUUGAAUAUUUUGGACACAUGUUAACCUACAUUUCCCCACACAUCAGGUAUCUUUGGCACUUUUCUA
Long non-coding RNA from Magnolia sinica, 750 nucleotides. RefSeq lists it as uncharacterized. The record is from RefSeq and is a predicted model, not a curated record. The transcript has 3 exons. NCBI's taxonomy places the organism in Eukaryota, Viridiplantae, Streptophyta, Magnoliopsida, Magnoliales, Magnoliaceae.